RNAcentral lists this small RNA (1287 nucleotides) under Pan troglodytes (chimpanzee). RNAcentral describes it as "retained intron". Lineage: Eukaryota; Metazoa; Chordata; Mammalia; Primates; Hominidae. The record is from RNAcentral.
AGGGAGAGGGCACACUUUCCCUAUCCCCAGAGAUUGAGACCCUGGGGAAAAUAACUCUGAUUCUUUCUCUCUCUCCCUCUUCUCUUUUCCUCCUCGCUUGGUUCUGGUUCGGUUGGCUUUGGUGGCCUUCCUCAGAGGAGGAAGCCUCCCCCCACCAGCUGUGCAGCGCAUUGCUGAGUCUCACCUGCAGUCUAUCAGCAAUUUGAAUGAGAACCAGGCCUCAGAGGAGGAGGAUGAGCUGGGGGAGCUUCGGGAGCUGGGUUAUCCAAGAGAGGAAGAUGAGGAGGAAGAGGAGGAUGAUGAAGAAGAGGAAGAAGAGGACAGCCAGGCUGAAGUCCUGAAGGUCAUCAGGCAGUCUGCUGGGCAAAAGACAACCUGUGGCCAGGGUCUGGAGGGGCCCUGGGAGCGCCCACCCCCUCUGGAUGAGUCCGAGAGAGAUGGAGGCUCUGAGGACCAAGUGGAAGACCCAGCACUAAGUGAGCCUGGGGAGGAACCGCAGCGCCCUUCCCCCUCUGAGCCUGGCACAUAGGCACCCAGCCUGCAUCUCCCAGGAGGAAGUGGAGGGGACAUCGCUGUUCCCCAGAAACCCACUCUAUCCUCACCCUGUUUUGUGCUCUUCCCCUCGCCUGCUAGGGCUGCGGCUUCUGACUUCUAGAAGACUAAGGCUGGUCUGUGUUUGCUUGUUUGCCCACCUUUGGCUGAUGCCCAGAGAACCUGGGCACUUGCUGCCUGAUGCCCACCCCUGCCAGUCAUUCCUCCAUUCACCUAGCGGGAGGUGGGAUGUGAGACAGCCCACAUAGGAAAAUCCAGAAAACCGGGAACAGGGACUUGCCCUUCACAAUUCUACUCCCCAGAUCCUCUCCCCUGGACACAGGAGACCCACAGGGCAGGACCCUAAGAUCUGGGGAAAGGAGGUCCUGAGAACCUUGAGGUACCCUUAGAUCCUUUUCUACCCACUUUCCUAUGGAGGAUUCCAAGUCACCACUUCUCUCACCGGCUUCUACCAGGGUCCAGGACUAAGGCGUUUUUCUCCACAGCCUCAACAUUUUGGGAAUCUUCCCUUAAUCACCCUUGCUCCUCCUGGGUGCCUGGAAGAUGGACUGGCAGAGACCUCUUUGUUGCGUUUUGUGCUUUGAUGCCAGGAAUGCCGCCUAGUUUAUGUCCCCGGUGGGGCACACAGCGGGGGCGCCAGGUUUUCCUUGUCCCCCAGCUGCUCUGCCCCUUUCCCCUUCUUCCCUGACUCCAGGCCUGAACCCCUCCCGUCCUGUAAUAAAUCUUUGUAAAUAA